RNAcentral lists this ribosomal RNA (460 nucleotides) under uncultured bacterium. RNAcentral's name for it is "partial 16S ribosomal RNA". It matches the Rfam family "Bacterial small subunit ribosomal RNA", at positions 338 to 795 of the family's 1533-position model. The record is from RNAcentral.
CCUACGGGAGGCAGCGGUGAGGAAUAUUGGUCAAUGGACGAGAGUCUGAACCAGCCAAGUAGCGUGAAGGAUGACUGCCCUAUGGGUUGUAAACUUCUUUUAUAUGGGAAUAAAACGUUCCACGUGUGGGAUUUUGUAUGUACCAUAUGAAUAAGGAUCGGCUAACUCCGUGCCAGCAGCCGCGGUAAUACGGAGGAUCCGAGCGUUAUCCGGAUUUAUUGGGUUUAAAGGGAGCGUAGGUGGAUUGUUAAGUCAGUUGUGAAAGUUUGCGGCUCAACCGUAAAAUUGCAGUUGAAACUGGCAGUCUUGAGUACAGUAGAGGUGGGCGGAAUUCGUGGUGUAGCGGUGAAAUGCUUAGAUAUCACGAAGAACUCCGAUUGCGAAGGCAGUUCACUGGACUGCAACUGACACUGAGGCUCGAAAGUGUGAGUAUCAAACAGGAUUAGAUACCCGGGUAGUC